RNAcentral lists this ribosomal RNA (253 nucleotides) under Phocaeicola coprocola DSM 17136. Its description in RNAcentral is "partial 16S ribosomal RNA". It matches the Rfam family "Bacterial small subunit ribosomal RNA", at positions 524 to 776 of the family's 1533-position model. Lineage: Bacteria; Pseudomonadati; Bacteroidota; Bacteroidia; Bacteroidales; Bacteroidaceae. The record is from RNAcentral.
UACGGAGGAUGCGAGCGUUAUCCGGAUUUAUUGGGUUUAAAGGGAGCGCAGACGGGGGAUUAAGUCAGUUGUGAAAGUUUGGGGCUCAACCUUAAAAUUGCAGUUGAUACUGGUUCUCUUGAGUGCAGUUGAGGCAGGCGGAAUUCGUGGUGUAGCGGUGAAAUGCUUAGAUAUCACGAAGAACCCCGAUUGCGAAGGCAGCUUGCUAAACUGUAACUGACGUUCAUGCUCGAAAGUGUGGGUAUCAAACAGG